UAUGUUGCACAUGUAAACCAUCUUAAAUUGUUUCCUCUAUAUUAUUUUGAGAAACCUUCCUAUGUACUUUUGUCCAAAAUCAUCCAACCCAUCUGAUGUUGUCUUCUUUAAAAUAUAGUUCUCUUCUUCUCUGAGGCCUUUUUUCCAUUUUGGGCACUAGAUAAGUUGCUAGGGGGUCAAGUCUUGAAUAGAUGUAUGUUGCACAUGUAAACCAUCUUAAAUUGUUUCCUCUAUAUUAUUUUGAGAAACCUUCCUAUGUACUUUUGUCCAAAAUCAUCCAACCCAUCUGAUGUUGUCUUCUUUAAAAUAUAGUUCUCUUCUUCUCUGAGGCCUUUUUUCCAUUUUGGGCACUAGAUAAGUUGCUAGGGGGUCAAGUCUUGAAUAGAUUCCAUGUUUAACAAACUUUAAGAUUUUUGAAAUUUAUUAGGACCUCCUAAUCCCUUCUUGAAAGAAAUGGUAGACAACCUUAACUAGAUUUCUUAGUUAACAUCUAAGACCAGCC
This 502-nucleotide long non-coding RNA is filed under the name Elaeis guineensis (African oil palm). RNAcentral describes it as "long non-coding RNA (EGUI_LNC006807)". The record is from RNAcentral. Lineage: Eukaryota; Viridiplantae; Streptophyta; Magnoliopsida; Arecales; Arecaceae.